RNAcentral lists this long non-coding RNA (5137 nucleotides) under Sus scrofa (pig). RNAcentral's name for it is "lncRNA (ENSSSCG00005045357.1)". The record is from RNAcentral. Lineage: Eukaryota; Metazoa; Chordata; Mammalia; Artiodactyla; Suidae.
UUUUUUUUUUUUUCCUUCUUCUUUUUAGGGCCACACUGGCGGCAUUCAGAGGUUUGCAGGCUAGGGGUCAAAUCGGAGCCACAGCAGCUCCCCUGUGCCACAGCCACACCAGAUUUGAGCCGCAUCUGUGAUCUAUGUCUAUCUCACAGCAACACCAGAUCCCCAACCCACUGAGCGAGGCCAGGGAUCGAACCCGCAUCUUCAUAGACACUGGUCAGAUUCGUUUCCGCUGCGCCACAGCGGGAACUCCAGUCCAGUCCUGUUUUUCGUCAUGGAUGUCUGAGUCCUCUGGUCGCAAGGGGACUGGAUGAAGUCUGUCGCAUCUGGGAAGGGCUGCAUCCGGUGAGAGCCAGGUCGUUUCAAGGGCGCUUCAUCCAGUCGAAGACUGCUGUGCUGAGAGUCUAGUACGGCCUCCACAGAGGGGGAAACAGACAGUGAGAAGGCGCUUGCUGACUGUGUCUUGUGUGGUCGGACAUGGCAGCGCUGCACAGCCGGUGCAAGGCGCCAUAAGCCCUUUCUCGACAGAAACUCCUUCUGUGGCCUCUUUUUAAAAAUUUUUUUAAAAUUACUCAAAUGAAUUUAUCACCUCUGUAGUUGUAUGAUGAUCAUAACAAUCCGAUUUCAUAGGAUUUCCAUCCCACGGCCCAAGCACAUCCCCCCACCCCCCAAACUGUCUCCUCCGGAGACCAUAAGUUUUUCAAUGUCUGUGAGUCAGCAUCUGUUCUGCAAAGAAGUUCAGUCUGUCCUGUUUUCAGAUUCCACAGGUCAGUGAAAGCAUUGGAUGUUCGUGUCUCACUGUAUGGCUGACUUCACUUAGCAUGGUAAUUUCUAGGUCCAUCUGUGUUGCUAAAAAUGUGGGUAUUUCGUUCCUUUUAAUGGCUGAGUCAUAUUCCAUCGUGUAUAUGGACCACAUCGUCUGGAUCCACUCCUCUGUCGAUGGACAUUAAAAAUAUGGAGCGCUUCACGGAUUUGCGUGUCAUCUGUGCGCAGGGGCCAAGCUAAUCUUCUCUGCAUCGUUCCGGUUUUAGUGUAUGUGCUGCCGAAGCGAGCACUGUGGCCUCUUGAUACAAACUCCUUCUGUGGCCUCCUGCCCUAAGGGUAUUGACGGCUGCUGGGGUAGGGGCUUAUUCCCAUCUGCAGUGGCUUUAACGGGGGCAGAGUGUAGCUUCCAGUGUCAGUAGAAUCACAUGCCCAUAAUUCUUUAGGUACGAAGCCUAGCAAUUCGUCUUGUUCAGUGUCUUUCUCGUCAGAGUAUGUGAUGGAGGGAGUUCCCAUUGUGGUGCCGAAGAAACGAAUCUGACUAGAAUCCGUGAGGACGUGGAUCCUUAACCCACUGAGUGAGGCCAGGGAUCGAACCCACAACCUCGUGGUUCCUAGUCGGACUCGUUUCUGCUGCGCCAUCACAGCAACUCCCGAUUUGACUUCUGAUUGUUUCUUCUUGUGUAAUCAUUUCUGCCUCUCCCAGGGUGUCAGAGAGGAGAAGGGGAGAGACUCCCCAUGUUCCCUCAGAGCAGCCCUGUUCCUAUUUAACUCGAAAUUCCGGCCUAAAAUCCAGUUUUCCUUUUAGGUUUCUCCUUCAUAACUUACAGUUCAGUUUCUGAUACCCUGGUUUUCUGCAGUAAAAAGCAGACUUUAGGUUUCUCUACCAGUUGUGGAGUGAACCGGGUAGGGUGGCAGUUAAUCUUGGACUGGCACUGAGUGCUUAAUUGGUGCAGUUGAAGGUUCAUAAUAUUUUUUUCUUUUUUGCUUUUAAGGGCCGCACCCUCGGCAUGUGGAGAUUCCCAGGCUAGGAGGUGAAUCGGAGCUUCGGCUGCUGGCCUGCGCCACAGCCACAGCAACGCAGGAUCUGAGCCACCUCUGCGACCUGCACCACAGCUCAGAGCAACAGCGGAUCCAUGAUCCACCGAGCGAGGCCAGGGGUUGAACCCUCAUCCUCAUGGACACUAAUCAGAUUCAUUUCUGCUGCACCACAGCAGGAACUCCUGAAGUUUCGUAAGUUUUGUAGAUGUCCCUUUUUCGUUCUUUUUAAUGGUUUUGAAAAGUUGGUCAGCCAGUGUAACAGGGGUUUGUGUGUAACAUGGACCAACCUAGAUUGUCUUUUGACUGGAGUAGCGAAACCCUCAUCUGAGCCUUCUAAGGAGUCGGAGUUCAGGAAAGGACCGUCUUGGUGGUUAGAGAAUGAUUCAGGAGGAAUUUCCUUUGUGGCUCAGUGGUUAACGAACCCGACUAGGAUUCGUCAACUAGCUGUGGNNNNNNNNNNNNNNNNNNNNNNNNNNNNNNNNNNNNNNNNNNNAAUGCCACUAAUAGCUGUAUUAACUGACACAGAUCUGAAAACCUGGGCUUGUACAAACAGACGGUUAACUCAGAUUCCUUAGCAGAUCCCAGUGGAUCCUAACUUUGAUCAGGCAACUCCUUAUCUAAGGCCCUGAGUUCUGCUUGGGCAGAGUUCAGCCCUGUCUGCAAUAGGUUUCUCCUCGGAGGGAGCUGUAAUCACUUCUGAUUUUUUUUAUCCUUCUUUACUGGGGAAGAGGGAGCAGGAGGUGGAAGAGUCAGAAGAGAAAAAGAGGUAGUGUCCAUGCCAGGCAGCUGAGGUGGCAGAGGAGGUGCCGAGGGAAGGCAGUGCCAGCGCAGCGGCUCUUUCACGUUCUGACAGUUUCAGCAGUUGCUUGUUGUUUCCUGCAAAGAAGGUGCUCUAUCAGUUCCUCUUUUAGAGGUGUCUAAAUCCCAAUUAAAGUAAGAAUUGCAUUUGGUCUGUUUGAUCUUUUGGCCAGCUUUUUCUGUUUGUGCAGAAAUAUCAAUUUUGGGAUAUCCAGAGAACCCCAAUUUGGCCAUUUUAAGUGGAGAUCUCUUCAUAUAAUUAGGUAGGUGCUUGGAAAUAGGCGCGCCUGAAGUAGCGUACAUGAAUCUGGCUGGGGUGUGUGUUGGAGGUUAGUUUUGUGAUCCUCCUGUGUGUUUGAGAGACUCUCUUUCCUGUUUUAAGCUGACUCUACUGGGGGUAAACAUUUGCUAAUGAAACUGUGGUGAGCAGCGUGUUGCUUGUGGGCUCCACUCCGGGUGUCAGCCUCGUCGUCCGCCCUCUCACGUGGCUCGGUUUCUCCCUUGGGUGAUCUGAGAUCACUGUGGGUGCUCAGAUUACUGACGGAUCAGUUCUUAGGAGUGACCCCCUGGAUGAGCAAGUCCUUCUCUGAUGAGUGGGUUUCCCUUGGAGACACUGCAGGGUAUGAGUCCUCUGCCUCCACCAUUCCUGUAAUUUCGAGGUUGCCUGCGAAAGCUGUAACUGACCAGGAGGGUCUUGUUCUUUUUCUUGGGAGCAGAAGCUCUCAUGUGCUGUCUUCACUUUUAUCCCAACAGAUUCUAUUCAGGCAGCCAAAUUGAGGCAAAGCAUCAGAUCAGUCUCUUACCUGACCCCUCAGCCCAGGCCAAUCAGCCUCCUUCAACUGAGCAAACCCUGGUCCCCCUCAGCCAGCCGCCACCCCAGCGCCUUUUGACUGUGUGGGCAUUACCCAUCAGCAUCUUCCAGCCAGCUUCCCCCGCCCCAAUGUCUGUUACCUCUGUGGGUAUUUUCCUGGUGUCUUUCAACUAGGCCCCCUGCCCGGUACCUUUUAACUGGGACACUAGGUGCCUGGUAAACUCGGGAUCAUAAACCAACACAGGAAAUCUGAGAAACAAGAAGGACACACCCAAAUUUGUUUCGACCCCCCAGUGAGGUGGGAAGGUGCAAGGGGCUCCUGCUGUUACCCAGGCUCUGAUUCCUUGUAAAGUUCAGGCGAAGGAGAGACGUCUGCCAUGGGCCCCUUCGAGGUCGUCAAAACUGCCACCUGAAAAAGGCGCAGCGUGAGAGCCGUGAGUUAAGUUUUAUUUGGGGCAAAAUGAGGACUAAAGCCCGAGAGACAGCCAUUCUGAUGGCUCUGAGAAAAUGCCCCAGAGAGUUCAGGGGUGGGGUGAAUACACGGAGGAUUCUGGUGAGGGUGCGUGCGGUCAGGCACCCAUUUUGGCAGGGGCUUGCUGCUGGUCUCGGGAAAGUCGCUGUUGGUCACAGGGAGCAGAUGCUACCAUUGGGCAUUUCACUGCUUUUCCAGACAAGGAGAUGCAAGCACUGGGGCCACGAAGUCUUCUCGUGGAAGCAUCCGACGCUCUGAAGACCCCUUCGGCCGGUUUUCUCCGGCGCAGAGGCCUCACUCCUGACCUCACCCCCACCUCCUUUUAGGUGAGUUGAAGCUUAGCCGCUUCAGCAGCACAUGACUUUAUCGCUGUAGAGGUAGGUGGCGAGCGUCAGAACUGGAGCGGACAACCUUCAGCCCAGGCCACUAAAACGUUCUGCAUGUCAGCAGUGAGGCUGUUUCAUGUUCUUAUCGUUUGUGCGUUCAUUGGAGCAGCACUUUCAUUUUUAAUUUAUUAUUAUUAUUUUUUGGCUGCCCAGAGGCCUGUGGAGUUCCUGGGUCAGGGAUCAGAUCUGAGCCGCAGUUGAGACCUACGCUGAACGUGUGGCAACUCUGGAUCCUUUAAGCCAACGUGCUGGGCCGGGGUCCACCCCGCGUCCUGUGCUCCAGGGCCGCCGCAGAUCCGGUUGUGCCACAGGGGAAGCUUUUAAUUUCCCUCACAGCUUAGCUGUUUGGUGCAAGAUAACUAGCUUUUGGCCUGUCCUGACUUUCAACAUGAAAUUUAAUCAUUUUUAUUUAGCUUUUGAUUUAAAGAGAGAGAUGUGCAAUUCUUCCUUUUACGUGAACACUUAAGAGGCCGGUGCAGCAUUCUUAAUUGGCCCAACACCAGUAUUGUUUUGUCUCAGGGAAUAGGGAGCCCUGAAGAGAAGCGGGGGCAUGGCUGGUCUCUGGAGCAGUUAGAACUCAUACGGUUUUCUUUGGAGUUCCCGUCGUGGCACAGUGGUUAACGAAUCCGACUAGGAACCAUGAGGUUGCGGGUUCGGUCCCUGCCCUUGCUCAGUGGGUUAACGAUCCGGCGUUGCCGUGAGCUGUGGUGUAGACUGCAGACGCGGCUCGGAUCCCGCGUGGCUGUGGCUCUGGCGUAGGCCGGUGGCAACAGCUCCGAUUCAACCCCUAGCCUGGGAACCUCCAUAUGCCGCGGGAGCGGCCCAAGAAAUAGCAGCAACAACAACAACAACAACAACAACAACAAAAAA